This 672-nucleotide ribosomal RNA is filed under the name Irpex lacteus. Its description in RNAcentral is "eukaryotic LSU rRNA". The stretch from base 246 to 399 matches the Rfam family "5.8S ribosomal RNA". Lineage: Eukaryota; Fungi; Basidiomycota; Agaricomycetes; Polyporales; Irpicaceae. The record is from RNAcentral.
CGUAUGCUGACUGCGGAGGAUCAUUAUCGAGUUUUGAACGGGUUGUAGCUGGCCUCUCACGAGGCAUGUGCACGCCUGGCUCAUCCACUCUUAACCUCUGUGCACUUUAUGUAAGAGAAAAAAAUGGUGGAAGCUUCCAGGAUCUCGCGAGAGGUCUUCGGUUGAACAAGCCGUUUUUCUUUCUUAUGUUUUACUACAAACGCUUCAGUUAUAGAAUGUCAACUGUGUAUAACACAUUUAUAUACAACUUUCAGCAACGGAUCUCUUGGCUCUCGCAUCGAUGAAGAACGCAGCGAAAUGCGAUAAGUAAUGUGAAUUGCAGAAUUCAGUGAAUCAUCGAAUCUUUGAACGCACCUUGCACUCCUUGGUAUUCCGAGGAGUAUGCCUGUUUGAGUCUCAUGGUAUUCUCAACCCCUAAAUUUUUGUAAUGAAGGUUUAGCGGGCUUGGACUUGGAGGUUGUGUCGGCCCUUGUCGGUCGACUCCUCUGAAAUGCAUUAGCGUGAAUCUUACGGAUCGCCUUCAGUGUGAUAAUUAUCUGCGCUGUGGUGUUGAAGUAUUUAUGGUGUUCAUGCUUCGAACCGUCUCCUUGCCGAGACAAUCAUUUGACAAUCUGAGCUCAAAUCAGGUAGGACUACCCGCUGAACUUAAGCAUAUCUAAAAGGGGGGAAGGA